CUUGGACUUCCCAGCCUCUGGAAUUUUCAUAGUCAUAACGUUCCAAGAAAACUUGUGGCACAAAGUGGAAUGAGCAGUAUGACAGGGACAUCACCUGAAUCUGCAUUACCUGUGCUUUUCUUCCUUGAUUUACCAGAUAAGUGGCUGGAAAACAUCCAUAUUAUGAUAAUAUUGGUUGAAUGAACAAACUAUCCAGUACUGCUGUGAGCACAUCUCUUUCCAUGAAAUAAGGAAAUGGCACUGAAAUCAACUAUUAGACAAUGGAUCCAGGAAUAAACAGGAAUGAUGUUCCAUGAAGCUGCAACAGAGAGGAAAGCCAGGAGCAGAGGAUGACCACACUGCAGUGUGAUGAGGACUGUAAGCACCAACUGCA
Molecule: non-coding RNA, 373 nt
Organism: Microcebus murinus (gray mouse lemur)
Lineage: Eukaryota; Metazoa; Chordata; Mammalia; Primates; Cheirogaleidae
Source: RefSeq, a predicted model, not a curated record